AACGAACGCUGGCGGCAUGCCUAACACAUGCAAGUCGAACGAGACCUUCGGGUCUAGUGGCGCACGUGUGCGUAACGCGUGGGAACCUGCCCUUAGGUUCGGAAUAACUCCCCGAAUGGGGUUCUAAUACCGGAUAAUCUCUUCGGACCAAAGAUUUAUCGCCUUUGGAUGGGCCCGCGUUGGAUUAGCUAGUUGGUAGGGUAAAAGCCUACCAACGCGAGGAUCCAUAGCUGGUCUGAGAGGAUGCUCAGCCACACUGGGACUUAGACACGGCCCAGACUCCUACGGGAGGCAGCAGUAGGGAAUAUUGGACGAUGGGCGAAAGCCUGAUCCAGCAAUGCCGCGUGAGUGAUGAAGGCCUUAGGGUUGUAAAGCUCUUUUACCCGGGAUGAUAAUGACAGUACCGGGAGAAUAAGCUCCGGCUAACUCCGUG
RNAcentral lists this ribosomal RNA (433 nucleotides) under uncultured bacterium. RNAcentral describes it as "partial 16S ribosomal RNA". It matches the Rfam family "Bacterial small subunit ribosomal RNA", at positions 29 to 507 of the family's 1533-position model. The record is from RNAcentral.